Heligmosomoides polygyrus is the source of this 75-nucleotide non-coding RNA. Lineage: Eukaryota; Metazoa; Nematoda; Chromadorea; Rhabditida; Heligmosomidae. The record is from Rfam.
GCGCCGGUGGUGUAAUGACGUAGAGCAUUCCCGCCCGGUCAGAGGGAGGUGCGGGUUCGAGUCCCGCCUGGCGCU